UACGGAGGGGGCUAGCGUUGUCCGAAGUUACUGGGCGUAAAGCGCGCGUAGGCGGGUUGGUAAGUCCGCUGUGAAAGCCCGGAGCUUAACUCCGGAGGGUCGGUGGAUACUGCCAGUCUUGAAGGUGCUAGGGGGAGAUGGAAUUACCGGUGUAGCGGUGAAAUGCGUAGAUAUCUGGAGGAACACCGGUGGCGAAGGCGGCAUCCUGGACCGACACUGACACUGAGGAGCGAAAGCCAGGGGAGCAAACGGG
This 253-nucleotide ribosomal RNA is filed under the name uncultured bacterium. RNAcentral's name for it is "partial 16S ribosomal RNA". It matches the Rfam family "Bacterial small subunit ribosomal RNA", at positions 524 to 776 of the family's 1533-position model. The record is from RNAcentral.